UACGUAGGUGGCAAGCGUUGUCCGGAAUUACUGGGCGUAAAGCGUGCGCAGGCGGUCUGUUAAGACCGAUGUGAAAAUCCCCAGGCUUAACCUGGGAACUGCGUGUGAUACUGGAUGGCUUGAAUCCGGGAGAGGGAUGCGGAAUUCCAGGUGUAGCGGUGAAAUGCGUAGAUAUCUGGAGGAACACCGGUGGCGAAGGCGGCAUCCUGGACCGGUAUUGACGCUGAUGAGCGAAAGCCAGGGGAGCAAACGGG
This 254-nucleotide ribosomal RNA is filed under the name uncultured bacterium. Its description in RNAcentral is "partial 16S ribosomal RNA". It matches the Rfam family "Bacterial small subunit ribosomal RNA", at positions 524 to 776 of the family's 1533-position model. The record is from RNAcentral.